Molecule: non-coding RNA, 84 nt
Organism: Pleurotus pulmonarius
Lineage: Eukaryota; Fungi; Basidiomycota; Agaricomycetes; Agaricales; Pleurotaceae
Source: the annotation of a GenBank genome assembly
UCGGAUAUGGUGUAACGGCUAACAUUGCCGCCUCUCACUGGUGGUAGAUCGCGGCAGCUCGGGGUUCGAUUCCCCGUAUCCGAA